AUUCAAAUAGCUUAUAUAGAGUGUAACAUUGAAGCUGUUAAGGAAAAUUUAAUUUUUUGAAUA
This 63-nucleotide transfer RNA is filed under the name Ocellarnaca fuscotessellata. RNAcentral's name for it is "tRNA-Phe". Lineage: Eukaryota; Metazoa; Arthropoda; Insecta; Orthoptera; Gryllacrididae. The record is from RNAcentral.